RNAcentral lists this long non-coding RNA (298 nucleotides) under Gossypium barbadense (sea-island cotton). RNAcentral describes it as "long non-coding RNA (GBAR_LNC021131)". The record is from RNAcentral. Lineage: Eukaryota; Viridiplantae; Streptophyta; Magnoliopsida; Malvales; Malvaceae.
CGGGGUCAUAGAGGAGACCGUGAGGAGUUGUGUAACACCCUUGUUUAAGGAGUUGUUAGGUAGUGUACUGGGAGGAGGAGGGGGAUAUGGAGGAAGAGGGAUCAGUGGAUUGGUGAUGAAUGCAAUUCCAUUGUGUUUGGGCGGCGGUGGGGGCAACGGGGAAUGGAUGGAUGAAAGAUGGAGAAAGCUGCAGAUAAUGGAGUUGGAAGUUUAUUCGAAACGGGUGGAGCUGGUGCAGGAUGAGAUUAAGGCGGCUUUGGAGGAGCUCCGGUCGAUGAAUGGGUGAUUUUGGAUAAGC